RNAcentral lists this transfer RNA (63 nucleotides) under Cteniopus sp. AH-2016. Its description in RNAcentral is "tRNA-His". The record is from RNAcentral. Lineage: Eukaryota; Metazoa; Arthropoda; Insecta; Coleoptera; Tenebrionidae.
AUUUAAGUAGUUUAUUUAAAAUAUUGAUUUGUGGUGUCAGAGAAGCAAGGUUUGUCUUAAAUA